This 121-nucleotide microRNA precursor is filed under the name Panax ginseng (ginseng). RNAcentral describes it as "miR6135a stem-loop (pgi-MIR6135a)". It matches the Rfam family "MIR6135 microRNA precursor family". Lineage: Eukaryota; Viridiplantae; Streptophyta; Magnoliopsida; Apiales; Araliaceae. The record is from miRBase by way of RNAcentral.
AUGAAGUUAUUUUUUUGGUAAGUUGGUCAAUUGGCCAAUAAAAUACUGACACACAUACAACUUCGUCUGCGUGUGAGUAUUCUAUUGUCAAUUGACCAACUUAUCCAAAAAUAAACUUCAU